GUCUAUGGCUAUGCCACCCUGAACAAGCCGGAUGUCUGAUCUUGGAAGUCGGACCUGGUUAGUACUUGGAUGAGUGAUCACCUAGGAAGAAUAGGUACUGUAGGCA
This 106-nucleotide ribosomal RNA is filed under the name Pteropus alecto (black flying fox). The record is from RNAcentral. Lineage: Eukaryota; Metazoa; Chordata; Mammalia; Chiroptera; Pteropodidae.